Long non-coding RNA from Lolium rigidum, 2876 nucleotides. RefSeq lists it as uncharacterized. The transcript has 13 exons. Lineage: Eukaryota; Viridiplantae; Streptophyta; Magnoliopsida; Poales; Poaceae. The record is from RefSeq and is a predicted model, not a curated record.
ACGGUGUGGGAUGUGCGUGGCGACCUGCCCUUCGCCGGCGGGUACGGGGCGGAAGGGUCAUCGCCGGCCAUGGAGGGCCCUCCGCCACGUCCAUGGAGAGAGGGGGUGAUGGUUCACAGUGGCUUCUUCUCUUUUCCCUCCCCGGGUUCCACUCCCUCUCCCUCCUGGAAACCCUAGCCGCCGUCCCUCCGCCUCCGCCUCCGCCUCCACCUCGUCGCCGGCCGGUCGUCCGUCCACCUCCACGCCUUGUCUGGAGUUACCCAAGCCAUGAGAGGGAGAUCGAGGCCCACGCAUCAGAACCCUAGCCGCCGCCAGGAGAGAAAGCGAAGGAGCAGGCGGUGGAGGGGAGGAUCCGGCGGAGGAUGUGAAGAUCCGGUGGUGCACGGGAGGAUCCGGCGGAGGAUGUGAAGAUCUGGUGGUGCACGGGAGGAUCCGGCGGCGGCGCGAGAAAGGGGGCGAGGUGGAGGGCAGCGACGACCUCCUCAUCCCGCCCUGUCCCGGCCUGGAGCACGGCGGCGGUAGUCCCGUCCUUCCCCGUGUUGGUUGUGCUGAUUCCGGGGUGGACGUUCUGGUGCUGGACCUCAAGGGUGUCCGCACCACCUACAGAUGCUCGAUGGGAAGCUAUCACUGACUUGCUAUCUAUGGCAUUGGAUUGUUACUACAAUACCUUCUGCAAGAAGAUAGUAAUCUAAAUGAGAAUGGCAGGCAUCGAACUCUAAGAUAUGAGUAAGCUACCAUCAACAACGGAAAUUGAACUUACAUGCACAUUUCCAGCCAAUAGACCAUGGUAGUAUGCAGCAGUUGUGGAGAUCGAGGGCAGCAGCUGUUGCGCGAUGGCCUGUCAUCGUUUGUACAGGGACCAAGGUUUCAAUGUAAACUUUGCACACAAGCUAAAUCCUUAUUUGCUGGUCAGAUUGAGUUGGAGUGGAGAUUUCGCAGUGGGUUUCUGCAUGAGAAGUUGUCCAUAAGAAAGAUCAAGAUGUUCUUUAUAUCCACAAUUACGGCCUCUUUGUUCCAUUAUUUUGAUAGGCUAUUGGCUAUUUAGUGAAUCAAGAUCUGAAUGUUAAGCUGAAGGUAGUGCUCAAAACUGCUUGGAGGUCUUUCGCCUGCUGGUCUAUCUAUUCAAGGCGAUUGUUACUUAAAUUAUUUACGCUUGGACAAUAAGCUUCGUACAACCAGCUUCUACGUUGGUGCCUAGCAUCAAGAUCAAUGGACCCAAGUUCUAUAUCUGAAGCUCCACAGUAUGGCUCUAUGGCAGUUGGCUUGAUGUAUCGUUUCGCAACCGAGAGGAAAUAGGCUCUUGGUCUCCAGAGUGUCUUCGCAUUAAAAAACAGUUAUGGUGAUAGCUGGUUUUUAGGUACAGAUGUGGUCUUUGCUGCUGCCUGCAGUCCUAUAAAGGCAUCACUUGUUAUUUCUGGAGGUAAAGAUGACAGAGGGUUUCUUUGGAGGAUUGGAUCAGCAGGGGAUGUUUAUGAUCUGACUGGGUGAGAAGGUUGUGAAUGAGAGGGACGUCUUGGUGAUCCUUUUGUCGGGAGGGCAAGGGAAGAAAAGGGUGAACUGGCACAUACUUUUGCUGGAUGAUUGUGUGUGUCUAAACUUACUAACUAGCAAAUAUGGCCAAGCGUGGGAGCGCCAAUUGUCGUGCACAGAUUCAUUUCUCCGCCAGAUUUCCAUCAGGGUGCAUAUGAGGUACAUGCUUUACUAGGCUUGGAAAAACAGGCCGUUGGAAGUGUAGUGCCCUUAGGUGCAACCUCUGAAGAUAUUAAGGUUAGAUGCAACUUGUGAAGAUAUUGAGGUACUGUUAUGCCUUUAUUUAUUGGGCCUGGAUCAGCACAGUGCAUGCUCAAACCUACUCGGCUAAUAUUGGUAAGCUGUUUUCUCUAGUGGAAAUAAAAAUAAAUUGCAUAAGCCAAGGAAACGACCAAGCAUCAUUCAAAUCUGAAUAGCUGGCAUGGUGACAAUAAAUUUGGUUAACUUCUUGCUGCAAGUGUUGGAUUAGAUUGCCAAUGAAGAACAAUCUGAGAAAACUAGCAAACUUUGAGUGGUUGGUCGUACACUAUUUCCAUCUAGAGGAGCCCUAUGGAGGUUGCUUUACAGAAGGGCCUUCAUCAGCACGAGUUUACCAUCUGUAACUGAAGAUGCAAAUAUCAGGCUGGAGAUAGAUCUGAAGCAUUGGCACCGUGGGAAAUACGUGACGUAUCCCAUGACAAGCAAAGAGCACUCUCAAUCCUUAACAUAUGUGAUGCCUUCGGGUGAUAUCUUAAACCUCGCUUCAGCCAGGCAGGGAGAGCUUACCACUUCACAGGUGGUCUUAAAGGAAUAAAAUGAAUCAUGGAUCAUAUUUUGUUUACAAAGUCACCUGGGAGAUUUUCAAAAUAGAAGCCAGAGCCAAAAACUGAGGAAGCACAGAUUAAACAACAGGUUUGGUCUACUCUUCAAAAUUAAUGUUGACAGAGCCUUUAGACAGUGUACUCAAUCUGGUGCUUGGAGUUUUCCAUUAAAAUGACGGGAGCUGCCCAGUUUGGAUAUGAUUGAUGAUGUACUACAUGCAGAAAACCUUGGCAAUGAUCUAUGCAGUAAGAGAGGAUGGACCAAUGGGAUGCCAUAUGCCAGAGUGAUUCUUGAGAUAGACCUUGUGAUUCUCAAAUAGGGGAUCACAAACUGAAGCAUAUGAGUUUUCCAUUCUACGAACCAUGUUUGGAUAGUUAAAUUAACUCCUGCAAAUUUUCUUUCAAGUUUGUGAAGUCGAAAAUUUCCUUCGGCCAUCUAAUGUUUCGGCUCAUGGUUUAGAAGUGUAUCUGUGUAUUGUGUUUACAUACUGAACUUGAUAAUGUAAAUUACAUAUCUAUAUAUUGUGUUAGUUAGGUCCUCCAAAA